RNAcentral lists this RNase P RNA (375 nucleotides) under Sphingomonadaceae bacterium. RNAcentral's name for it is "RNase P RNA component class A". It matches the Rfam family "Bacterial RNase P class A". Rfam says of the family: Ribonuclease P (RNase P) is a ubiquitous endoribonuclease, found in archaea, bacteria and eukarya as well as chloroplasts and mitochondria. Its best characterised activity is the generation of mature 5'-ends of tRNAs by cleaving the 5'-leader elements of precursor-tRNAs. The record is from RNAcentral. Lineage: Bacteria; Pseudomonadati; Pseudomonadota; Alphaproteobacteria; Sphingomonadales; Sphingomonadaceae.
CCAGAGGGCCGGGCGGCCGUCGGCCGAAGCUUCAGGGCGAAGGCGGAAGGAAAGUCCGGGCUCCAUGGACCAACGGUGCCGGGUAACUCCCGGCGGGGGCGACCCCAGGGAAAGUGCCACAGAGAGCAGGUCACCCACGGCUUUAGCCCGGUGAAAAGUGAAAGGGUGCGGUAAGAGCGCACCGCGCGCAUUGGCAACAAUCGCGGCACGGCAAACCCCACCGGGAGCAAGACCGAAUAGGGGCGGCAUAUGGCGGGUCCGGCCAGUCGCCCGGGUUGGUUGCUAGAGGCCGCAAGCAAUUGCGAUCCUAGAGGAAUGGCUGCACAGGCGGAGAGAUCCGCUGGACAGAACCCGGCUUACAGGCCCUCUGGUGCC